UGGCUCUGGCAUCGAUGAAGAACGCAGCGAAAUGCGAUAAGUAAUGUGAAUUGCAGAAUUCAGUGAAUCAUCGAAUCUUUGAACGCACAUUGCGCCCGCCAGUAUUCUGGCGGGCAUGCCUGUUCGAGCGUCAUUACAACCCUCAGGCCCCCGGGCCUGGCGUUGGGGAUCGGCGGAGCCCUCUGUGGCACACGCCGUCCCCCAAAUACAGUGGCGGUCCCGCCGCAGCUUCCAAUGCGUAGUACCUAACGACGCAACUGGAGAGCGGCGCGGCCACGCCGUAAAACACCCAACUUUUAAACGUUGACCUCGAAUCAGGUAGGAAUACCCGCUGA
RNAcentral lists this unclassified non-coding RNA (335 nucleotides) under uncultured fungus. RNAcentral describes it as "partial contains 5.8S ribosomal RNA and internal transcribed spacer 2". The stretch from base 1 to 133 matches the Rfam family "5.8S ribosomal RNA", at positions 22 to 154 of the family's 154-position model. The record is from RNAcentral. Lineage: Eukaryota; Fungi.